CGUUACUGCUAAUACCGCAUAAUGUGCCGGGAGGGGCAUCUUCCUGGUACCAAAGAUUUAUCGCUCUAAGAUGGGCUCGCGUCUGAUUAGAUUGUUGGUGGGGUAACGGGCCUACCAAGUCGACGAUCAGUAGCCGGACUGAGAGGUUGAGCGGCCACAUUGGGACUGAGAUACGGCCCAGACUCCUACGGGAGGCAGCAUG
Molecule: ribosomal RNA, 202 nt
Filed under: uncultured bacterium
Lineage: Bacteria
Description: partial 16S ribosomal RNA
Rfam family: Bacterial small subunit ribosomal RNA
Source: RNAcentral